UGUCAGGAUGGCCGAGUGGUCUAAGGCGCCAGACUCAAGUUCUGGUCUUCGAAAGAGGGCGUGGGUUCAAAUCCCACUUCUGACAGUA
Molecule: transfer RNA, 88 nt
Filed under: Helianthus annuus (common sunflower)
Lineage: Eukaryota; Viridiplantae; Streptophyta; Magnoliopsida; Asterales; Asteraceae
Description: tRNA-Leu
Rfam family: tRNA
About the family: Transfer RNA (tRNA) molecules are approximately 80 nucleotides in length. Their secondary structure includes four short double-helical elements and three loops (D, anti-codon, and T loops). Further hydrogen bonds mediate the characteristic L-shaped molecular structure. tRNAs have two regions of fundamental functional importance: the anti-codon, which is responsible for specific mRNA codon recognition, and the 3' end, to which the tRNAs corresponding amino acid is attached (by aminoacyl-tRNA synthetases). tRNAs cope with the degeneracy of the genetic code in two manners: having more than one tRNA (with a specific anti-codon) for a particular amino acid; and 'wobble' base-pairing, i.e. permitting non-standard base-pairing at the 3rd anti-codon position.
Source: RNAcentral